Polyodon spathula (Mississippi paddlefish) is the source of this 510-nucleotide long non-coding RNA. RefSeq lists it as uncharacterized. The transcript is spliced from 6 exons. NCBI's taxonomy places the organism in Eukaryota, Metazoa, Chordata, Actinopteri, Acipenseriformes, Polyodontidae. The record is from RefSeq and is a predicted model, not a curated record.
AUGCCUGGUAAGAAGAUACGCCAAUGUCAAGGAAAACCAUUGAAACUCAAUCAAAGUUGCAAACAAACAGGAAUACAGCACAAGUGAUUUUACCAUUUAGGUGUCUCUACCAUGGCUGGGAAGAAAAAGAAAUAUCACUUCAUUGGUGGACGUGUACCAGCAAUGGUGUUGGCCCUGCAGAGCUGUCAUCAGUCUCUUCAGGAAAAUUCAAAAUGAACUGGGGGAUGACCUUUUACACUUCGCUACAGCUGAAACUGAUGGCACUGAUUCCCUAGAACGAUAUUGUGGAAAGUGUGAACCCCCCUUUCUGUUUUAUUAGUGGAGGUGACCUGGUGGCUGUAGUGUGAGGGAAAACAGUCCUGGAGCAGCUGACAGUGGAGAAGAAAUUGCUGGAGCAGGGCACCGAGUGAUGAAAUCCUAGAGCAGGUGCAGGAAGAAGGUUUCAUGAUAUCCCAAAUGAAGGAGACGGUCCUGUCCUGGGAGAUGGCCGAAGAGUUCUACAACCAGCAC